Molecule: ribosomal RNA, 2903 nt
Filed under: Escherichia coli
Lineage: Bacteria; Pseudomonadati; Pseudomonadota; Gammaproteobacteria; Enterobacterales; Enterobacteriaceae
Description: 23S ribosomal RNA
Rfam family: Bacterial large subunit ribosomal RNA
Source: RNAcentral
GGUUAAGCGACUAAGCGUACACGGUGGAUGCCCUGGCAGUCAGAGGCGAUGAAGGACGUGCUAAUCUGCGAUAAGCGUCGGUAAGGUGAUAUGAACCGUUAUAACCGGCGAUUUCCGAAUGGGGAAACCCAGUGUGUUUCGACACACUAUCAUUAACUGAAUCCAUAGGUUAAUGAGGCGAACCGGGGGAACUGAAACAUCUAAGUACCCCGAGGAAAAGAAAUCAACCGAGAUUCCCCCAGUAGCGGCGAGCGAACGGGGAGCAGCCCAGAGCCUGAAUCAGUGUGUGUGUUAGUGGAAGCGUCUGGAAAGGCACGCGAUACAGGGUGACAGCCCCGUACACAAAAAUGCACAUGCUGUGAGCUCGAUGAGUAGGGCGGGACACGUGGUAUCCUGUCUGAAUAUGGGGGGACCAUCCUCCAAGGCUAAAUACUCCUGACUGACCGAUAGUGAACCAGUACCGUGAGGGAAAGGCGAAAAGAACCCCGGCGAGGGGAGUGAAAAAGAACCUGAAACCGUGUACGUACAAGCAGUGGGAGCACGCUUAGGCGUGUGACUGCGUACCUUUUGUAUAAUGGGUCAGCGACUUAUAUUCUGUAGCAAGGUUAACCGAAUAGGGGAGCCGAAGGGAAACCGAGUCUUAACUGGGCGUUAAGUUGCAGGGUAUAGACCCGAAACCCGGUGAUCUAGCCAUGGGCAGGUUGAAGGUUGGGUAACACUAACUGGAGGACCGAACCGACUAAUGUUGAAAAAUUAGCGGAUGACUUGUGGCUGGGGGUGAAAGGCCAAUCAAACCGGGAGAUAGCUGGUUCUCCCCGAAAGCUAUUUAGGUAGCGCCUCGUGAAUUCAUCUCCGGGGGUAGAGCACUGUUUCGGCAAGGGGGUCAUCCCGACUUACCAACCCGAUGCAAACUGCGAAUACCGGAGAAUGUUAUCACGGGAGACACACGGCGGGUGCUAACGUCCGUCGUGAAGAGGGAAACAACCCAGACCGCCAGCUAAGGUCCCAAAGUCAUGGUUAAGUGGGAAACGAUGUGGGAAGGCCCAGACAGCCAGGAUGUUGGCUUAGAAGCAGCCAUCAUUUAAAGAAAGCGUAAUAGCUCACUGGUCGAGUCGGCCUGCGCGGAAGAUGUAACGGGGCUAAACCAUGCACCGAAGCUGCGGCAGCGACACUAUGUGUUGUUGGGUAGGGGAGCGUUCUGUAAGCCUGUGAAGGUGUGCUGUGAGGCAUGCUGGAGGUAUCAGAAGUGCGAAUGCUGACAUAAGUAACGAUAAAGCGGGUGAAAAGCCCGCUCGCCGGAAGACCAAGGGUUCCUGUCCAACGUUAAUCGGGGCAGGGUGAGUCGACCCCUAAGGCGAGGCCGAAAGGCGUAGUCGAUGGGAAACAGGUUAAUAUUCCUGUACUUGGUGUUACUGCGAAGGGGGGACGGAGAAGGCUAUGUUGGCCGGGCGACGGUUGUCCCGGUUUAAGCGUGUAGGCUGGUUUUCCAGGCAAAUCCGGAAAAUCAAGGCUGAGGCGUGAUGACGAGGCACUACGGUGCUGAAGCAACAAAUGCCCUGCUUCCAGGAAAAGCCUCUAAGCAUCAGGUAACAUCAAAUCGUACCCCAAACCGACACAGGUGGUCAGGUAGAGAAUACCAAGGCGCUUGAGAGAACUCGGGUGAAGGAACUAGGCAAAAUGGUGCCGUAACUUCGGGAGAAGGCACGCUGAUAUGUAGGUGAAGUCCCUUGCGGAUGGAGCUGAAAUCAGUCGAAGAUACCAGCUGGCUGCAACUGUUUAUUAAAAACACAGCACUGUGCAAACACGAAAGUGGACGUAUACGGUGUGACGCCUGCCCGGUGCCGGAAGGUUAAUUGAUGGGGUCAGCGCAAGCGAAGCUCUUGAUCGAAGCCCCGGUAAACGGCGGCCGUAACUAUAACGGUCCUAAGGUAGCGAAAUUCCUUGUCGGGUAAGUUCCGACCUGCACGAAUGGCGUAAUGAUGGCCAGGCUGUCUCCACCCGAGACUCAGUGAAAUUGAACUCGCUGUGAAGAUGCAGUGUACCCGCGGCAAGACGGAAAGACCCCGUGAACCUUUACUAUAGCUUGACACUGAACAUUGAGCCUUGAUGUGUAGGAUAGGUGGGAGGCUUUGAAGUGUGGACGCCAGUCUGCAUGGAGCCGACCUUGAAAUACCACCCUUUAAUGUUUGAUGUUCUAACGUGGACCCGUGAUCCGGGUUGCGGACAGUGUCUGGUGGGUAGUUUGACUGGGGCGGUCUCCUCCUAAAGAGUAACGGAGGAGCACGAAGGUUGGCUAAUCCUGGUCGGACAUCAGGAGGUUAGUGCAAUGGCAUAAGCCAGCUUGACUGCGAGCGUGACGGCGCGAGCAGGUGCGAAAGCAGGUCAUAGUGAUCCGGUGGUUCUGAAUGGAAGGGCCAUCGCUCAACGGAUAAAAGGUACUCCGGGGAUAACAGGCUGAUACCGCCCAAGAGUUCAUAUCGACGGCGGUGUUUGGCACCUCGAUGUCGGCUCAUCACAUCCUGGGGCUGAAGUAGGUCCCAAGGGUAUGGCUGUUCGCCAUUUAAAGUGGUACGCGAGCUGGGUUUAGAACGUCGUGAGACAGUUCGGUCCCUAUCUGCCGUGGGCGCUGGAGAACUGAGGGGGGCUGCUCCUAGUACGAGAGGACCGGAGUGGACGCAUCACUGGUGUUCGGGUUGUCAUGCCAAUGGCACUGCCCGGUAGCUAAAUGCGGAAGAGAUAAGUGCUGAAAGCAUCUAAGCACGAAACUUGCCCCGAGAUGAGUUCUCCCUGACCCUUUAAGGGUCCUGAAGGAACGUUGAAGACGACGACGUUGAUAGGCCGGGUGUGUAAGCGCAGCGAUGCGUUGAGCUAACCGGUACUAAUGAACCGUGAGGCUUAACCUU